Molecule: ribosomal RNA, 274 nt
Filed under: uncultured bacterium
Lineage: Bacteria
Description: partial 16S ribosomal RNA
Rfam family: Bacterial small subunit ribosomal RNA
Source: RNAcentral
GACGUAGGGUGCAAGCGUUGUCCGGAUUUACUGGGCGUAAAGAGCGCGUAGGCGGCUCGUUAAGUGUGAAGUGAAAUCUCCAGGGCUCAACCCGGAAACUGCUUUACAUACUGGCGAGCUGGAGUGAUGAAGAGGUUUGUGGAAUUCCUGGUGUAACGGUGAAAUGUGUUGAUAUCAGGAGGAACACCCAUGGCGAAGGCAGCAAACUGGUCAUCAACUGACGCUGAGGCGCGAAAGCGUGGGUAGCAAACAGGAUUAGAAACCCCGGUAGUCC